RNAcentral lists this non-coding RNA (55 nucleotides) under unclassified sequences. RNAcentral describes it as "Mu-gpT-DE RNA". It matches the Rfam family "Mu-gpT-DE RNA". The record is from Rfam by way of RNAcentral.
CCUUGACAGUUACAAUAAUGUAACUGACAUUUGCCACGACAAGGAGAUUUAAAUG